Molecule: small nuclear RNA, 116 nt
Organism: Hemibagrus wyckioides
Lineage: Eukaryota; Metazoa; Chordata; Actinopteri; Siluriformes; Bagridae
Product: U5 spliceosomal RNA
Exons: 1
Source: RefSeq, a predicted model, not a curated record
AUACUGCUGGUUUCUUUUAAGUCCUGCUUAAAUCUUUGGCUUUUUACUAAAGAUUUCUGUGGAGAGGAACAUAAAUGAGUUUGAUGUAUUUUUAUGAGCUUUGCUCUAGCAAAGCU